RNAcentral lists this transfer RNA (90 nucleotides) under Ilumatobacteraceae bacterium. Its description in RNAcentral is "tRNA-Ser". It matches the Rfam family "tRNA". From Rfam's summary of the family: Transfer RNA (tRNA) molecules are approximately 80 nucleotides in length. Their secondary structure includes four short double-helical elements and three loops (D, anti-codon, and T loops). The record is from RNAcentral. Lineage: Bacteria; Bacillati; Actinomycetota; Acidimicrobiia; Acidimicrobiales; Ilumatobacteraceae. RNAcentral also lists the same sequence under 3 other names.
GGAGAGGUGCCAGAGCGGCCGAAUGGGGCACCCUGCUAAGGUGUUGAUGGUUUCGGCCAUCCGUGGGUUCAAAUCCCACCCUCUCCGCCA